This 506-nucleotide ribosomal RNA is filed under the name Russula nigricans. RNAcentral describes it as "eukaryotic LSU rRNA". It matches the Rfam family "Eukaryotic large subunit ribosomal RNA", at positions 82 to 586 of the family's 3401-position model. The record is from RNAcentral. Lineage: Eukaryota; Fungi; Basidiomycota; Agaricomycetes; Russulales; Russulaceae.
AGUAACUGCGAGUGAAGCGGGAAAAGCUCAAAUUUAAAAUCUGGYGGCCUCUGGUCGUCCGAGUUGUAAUUUAGAGAAGCGUCUUCCGCGCUGGACCGUGCACAAGUCUCCUGGAAUGGAGCGUCAUAGAGGGUGAGAAUCCCGUCUUUGGCACGGACGCACCAGGGCUUUUGUGAUGCGCUCUCGAAGAGUCGAGUUGUUUGGGAAUGCAGCUCAAAAUGGGUGGUGAACUCCAUCUAAAGCUAAAUAUUGGCGAGAGACCGAUAGCGAACAAGUACCGUGAGGGAAAGAUGAAAAGCACUUUGGAAAGAGAGUGAAACAGUACGUGAAAUUGUUGAAAGGGAAACGCUUGAAGUCAGUCGCGUCGACCGAGACUCAGCCUUGCCUUGGCUCGGUGUAUUUCUCGGCCGACGGGUCAGCAUCAAUUUUGCCCCUCGGAUAAUGGCGAGAGAAAGGUGGCACCCUCACCGGUGUGUUAUAGUCUCCCGUCGGAUGCGAGGGUCGGG